This 2928-nucleotide ribosomal RNA is filed under the name Escherichia coli. RNAcentral describes it as "bacterial LSU rRNA". It matches the Rfam family "Bacterial large subunit ribosomal RNA". The record is from RNAcentral. Lineage: Bacteria; Pseudomonadati; Pseudomonadota; Gammaproteobacteria; Enterobacterales; Enterobacteriaceae.
GGGUUGUGAGGUUAAGCGACUAAGCGUACACGGUGGAUGCCCUGGCAGUCAGAGGCGAUGAAGGACGUGCUAAUCUGCGAUAAGCGUCGGUAAGGUGAUAUGAACCGUUAUAACCGGCGAUUUCCGAAUGGGGAAACCCAGUGUGUUUCGACACACUAUCAUUAACUGAAUCCAUAGGUUAAUGAGGCGAACCGGGGGAACUGAAACAUCUAAGUACCCCGAGGAAAAGAAAUCAACCGAGAUUCCCCCAGUAGCGGCGAGCGAACGGGGAGCAGCCCAGAGCCUGAAUCAGUGUGUGUGUUAGUGGAAGCGUCUGGAAAGGCGCGCGAUACAGGGUGACAGCCCCGUACACAAAAAUGCACAUGCUGUGAGCUCGAUGAGUAGGGCGGGACACGUGGUAUCCUGUCUGAAUAUGGGGGGACCAUCCUCCAAGGCUAAAUACUCCUGACUGACCGAUAGUGAACCAGUACCGUGAGGGAAAGGCGAAAAGAACCCCGGCGAGGGAGUGAAAAAGAACCUGAAACCGUGUACGUACAAGCAGUGGGAGCACGCUUAGGCGUGUGACUGCGUACCUUUUGUAUAAUGGGUCAGCGACUUAUAUUCUGUAGCAAGGUUAACCGAAUAGGGGAGCCGAAGGGAAACCGAGUCUUAACUGGGCGUUAAGUUGCAGGGUAUAGACCCGAAACCCGGUGAUCUAGCCAUGGGCAGGUUGAAGGUUGGGUAACACUAACUGGAGGACCGAACCGACUAAUGUUGAAAAAUUAGCGGAUGACUUGUGGCUGGGGGUGAAAGGCCAAUCAAACCGGGAGAUAGCUGGUUCUCCCCGAAAGCUAUUUAGGUAGCGCCUCGUGAAUUCAUCUCCGGGGGUAGAGCACUGUUUCGGCAAGGGGGUCAUCCCGACUUACCAACCCGAUGCAAACUGCGAAUACCGGAGAAUGUUAUCACGGGAGACACACGGCGGGUGCUAACGUCCGUCGUGAAGAGGGAAACAACCCAGACCGCCAGCUAAGGUCCCAAAGUCAUGGUUAAGUGGGAAACGAUGUGGGAAGGCCCAGACAGCCAGGAUGUUGGCUUAGAAGCAGCCAUCAUUUAAAGAAAGCGUAAUAGCUCACUGGUCGAGUCGGCCUGCGCGGAAGAUGUAACGGGGCUAAACCAUGCACCGAAGCUGCGGCAGCGACGCUGAUGCGUUGUUGGGUAGGGGAGCGUUCUGUAAGCCUGCGAAGGUGUGCUGUGAGGCAUGCUGGAGGUAUCAGAAGUGCGAAUGCUGACAUAAGUAACGAUAAAGCGGGUGAAAAGCCCGCUCGCCGGAAGACCAAGGGUUCCUGUCCAACGUUAAUCGGGGCAGGGUGAGUCGACCCCUAAGGCGAGGCCGAAAGGCGUAGUCGAUGGGAAACAGGUUAAUAUUCCUGUACUUGGUGUUACUGCGAAGGGGGACGGAGAAGGCUAUGUUGGCCGGGCGACGGUUGUCCCGGUUUAAGCGGGUAGGCUGGUUUUCCAGGCAAAUCCGGAAAAUCAAGGCUGAGGCGUGAUGACGAGGCACUACGGUGCUGAAGCAACAAAUGCCCUGCUUCCAGGAAAAGCCUCUAAGCAUCAGGUAACAUCAAAUCGUACCCCAAACCGACACAGGUGGUCAGGUAGAGAAUACCAAGGCGCUUGAGAGAACUCGGGUGAAGGAACUAGGCAAAAUGGUGCCGUAACUUCGGGAGAAGGCACGCUGAUAUGUAGGUGAAGCGACUUGCUCGUGGAGCUGAAAUCAGUCGAAGAUACCAGCUGGCUGCAACUGUUUAUUAAAAACACAGCACUGUGCAAACACGAAAGUGGACGUAUACGGUGUGACGCCUGCCCGGUGCCGGAAGGUUAAUUGAUGGGGUCAGCGCAAGCGAAGCUCUUGAUCGAAGCCCCGGUAAACGGCGGCCGUAACUAUAACGGUCCUAAGGUAGCGAAAUUCCUUGUCGGGUAAGUUCCGACCUGCACGAAUGGCGUAAUGAUGGCCAGGCUGUCUCCACCCGAGACUCAGUGAAAUUGAACUCGCUGUGAAGAUGCAGUGUACCCGCGGCAAGACGGAAAGACCCCGUGAACCUUUACUAUAGCUUGACACUGAACAUUGAGCCUUGAUGUGUAGGAUAGGUGGGAGGCUUUGAAGUGUGGACGCCAGUCUGCAUGGAGCCGACCUUGAAAUACCACCCUUUAAUGUUUGAUGUUCUAACGUGGACCCGUGAUCCGGGUUGCGGACAGUGUCUGGUGGGUAGUUUGACUGGGGCGGUCUCCUCCUAAAGAGUAACGGAGGAGCACGAAGGUUGGCUAAUCCUGGUCGGACAUCAGGAGGUUAGUGCAAUGGCAUAAGCCAGCUUGACUGCGAGCGUGACGGCGCGAGCAGGUGCGAAAGCAGGUCAUAGUGAUCCGGUGGUUCUGAAUGGAAGGGCCAUCGCUCAACGGAUAAAAGGUACUCCGGGGAUAACAGGCUGAUACCGCCCAAGAGUUCAUAUCGACGGCGGUGUUUGGCACCUCGAUGUCGGCUCAUCACAUCCUGGGGCUGAAGUAGGUCCCAAGGGUAUGGCUGUUCGCCAUUUAAAGUGGUACGCGAGCUGGGUUUAGAACGUCGUGAGACAGUUCGGUCCCUAUCUGCCGUGGGCGCUGGAGAACUGAGGGGGGCUGCUCCUAGUACGAGAGGACCGGAGUGGACGCAUCACUGGUGUUCGGGUUGUCAUGCCAAUGGCACUGCCCGGUAGCUAAAUGCGGAAGAGAUAAGUGCUGAAAGCAUCUAAGCACGAAACUUGCCCCGAGAUGAGUUCUCCCUGACCCUUUAAGGGUCCUGAAGGAACGUUGAAGACGACGACGUUGAUAGGCCGGGUGUGUAAGCGCAGCGAUGCGUUGAGCUAACCGGUACUAAUGAACCGUGAGGCUUAACCUUACAACGCCGAAGCUGUU